RNAcentral lists this ribosomal RNA (253 nucleotides) under uncultured bacterium. RNAcentral describes it as "partial 16S ribosomal RNA". It matches the Rfam family "Bacterial small subunit ribosomal RNA", at positions 524 to 776 of the family's 1533-position model. The record is from RNAcentral.
UACGAAGGGGGCUAGCGUUGUUCGGAAUUACUGGGCGUAAAGCGCACGUAGGCGGGUCGUUAAGUCAGGGGUGAAAUCCCGGAGCUCAACUCCGGAACUGCCUUUGAUACUGGCGAUCUAGAGAUCGGAAGAGGUUAGUGGAAUUCCCAGUGUAGAGGUGAAAUUCGUAGAUAUUGGGAAGAACACCAGUGGCGAAGGCGGCUAACUGGUCCGAUACUGACGCUGAGGUGCGAAAGCGUGGGGAGCAAACAGG